RNAcentral lists this ribosomal RNA (253 nucleotides) under uncultured bacterium. RNAcentral's name for it is "partial 16S ribosomal RNA". It matches the Rfam family "Bacterial small subunit ribosomal RNA", at positions 524 to 776 of the family's 1533-position model. The record is from RNAcentral.
UACGGAGGGUGCAAGCGUUAAUCGGAAUUACUGGGCGUAAAGCGCGCGUAGGCGGCUGUCUAAGCUAGAUGUGAAAUCCCUGGGCUUAACCUGGGAACUGCAUUUAGAACUGGGCAGCUAGAGUACAGCAGAGGAUAGUGGAAUUUCAGGUGUAGCGGUGAAAUGCAUAGAUAUCUGAAGGAACACCAGUGGCGAAGGCGACUCCCUGGUCUAAAACUGACGCUGAGGUGCGAAAGCGUGGGUAGCAAACGGG